GUCCAAACACUGAUUCCAUCUCAUGAUCCCAUAUCAUGAUAUGGUAUCGCAUGUAGGAAUUUGGUCAUGUGAUACCAUAUCACGCUAUGAAAUCAUGAGAUGGAAUCAGUGUUUGGACAU
Solanum tuberosum (potato) is the source of this 120-nucleotide non-coding RNA. The record is from RefSeq and is marked provisional. NCBI's taxonomy places the organism in Eukaryota, Viridiplantae, Streptophyta, Magnoliopsida, Solanales, Solanaceae.